AUGUUUCUCCCUGUGGGCUUCAGCCUUUUGCUUUUCUACAAGGGCGUGCUGUGUAACCAAGUGACCCAGAGCUCCCCGGAGCAGAGAGUGGCGAGUGGCCGAGAGGUGACACUGCAGUGCACCUUCCAAACCACAUAUUCAAAUCCAGCCUUAUACUGGUACCGAAAGACGCCAGAUGCUGUCUUCCAGUUUGUCCUGUACAGGGACAAUACUAGAUCCCGUGAUGCGGAUUUUGCUCGGGGUAGAUUUACUGUGCAGCAUAGCAUGAGCCGCAAAACCUUCCACUUGGUGAUCUCCUCUGUGAGGCCUGAAGACACUGCCACUUACUACUGUGCUUUGGAGCUCCCACGGUGA
Budorcas taxicolor (takin) is the source of this 354-nucleotide non-coding RNA. NCBI's taxonomy places the organism in Eukaryota, Metazoa, Chordata, Mammalia, Artiodactyla, Bovidae. The record is from the annotation of a RefSeq genome assembly.